GAUCUUAUGUAACUACGCACAGACAACAUAUAUGUACAAACUCAAGUUCCAUUCAUUGUUGUUCCAACCAAAAAAUAGAGAUUAACUCCUCCGAACUACAGUUAAUGUUACAAAGAUUGGAGAACAAACUACAUAUAAUUUGCACGAUUAUUACAUAAACAAAUAACAUAUAAUCAGACACAACAAAAUACAUAAGAUGCUCUUCCUACUAUUAGGAUUCUAGCUGUGAUUCAUCUUAUCCUUUUGGUUCAACCCUUGAUUGAUCAUCUGAUGACCCUCUAACUCUUGCUCAACCUCCGUCCAUUGUUCAUUCUCUAUCCCUUUCAAUACCAAUUGAAUCUUUAAUGAUUUAUAAUUGGCUAAUCCUUCUUCAAUCUCUCUCAAUUGUUCACCAAUCAUAGAAGGACAAACCUAGAACGCUCAUUAAUAACAUCAUCCCUCCAUCAAAAAAAAUUACAAGACUUGGUUUGAAAUUUGAAGAGAUAUAAAUCAUUUUAAAGUAACCAAAAAAUAUGGACAACAUCAAUCAAUUGCCCAAAUACUUACACCAUAUUAUGAAAAAUACCAGAACCGUCUUCCAGGGUUCCAAGUCGACCAAGAAGUUUGCAAUGACAGCAAAUCUUCAUGCUUGCAACGCACCUUCAGAUUCAACAUUGGGUCAUGCUCGUCCAUACAAAGUUGAUUCAAGUUGAUUCCUGCCAUUUCAAACACUGAAAAACAGAGAAUUAGCACAGAUUAAUUUCAAUAGAGAACCCUAAAAAUAAUCUAUAAAAUAUAACUAAGAAAAUUAAAGAUUGAGGAGGAGAAGUUAAUACUAUACAAGAAGGUUGCAAUGCAAAAAAAUCCCUUUCUAUUCACCAAAAUCGAGCUUCAAUGGCGGACGGAAUCGGGUGUGGAAGAAGAGAAAGAAUUUUAACCUAAUUAAAUAAAUGGUAUGUGACAGUUAAAUAAAGGCAUGGAAGUAUAAAUUAUAUUAUUCACGCGCUCACAAAUCGUGCAGACACCCU
This 1007-nucleotide long non-coding RNA is filed under the name Nicotiana tabacum (common tobacco). RNAcentral describes it as "long non-coding RNA (NTAB_LNC005938)". Lineage: Eukaryota; Viridiplantae; Streptophyta; Magnoliopsida; Solanales; Solanaceae. The record is from RNAcentral.